AUGGUGUGGUCCGUCCGCGUUCCCCUAAAGAUCCGCAUAUUCAUGUGGUAGUGGAUUCGCGGCCGGGUCCCGUCUGGAGUGGAGGUCUGCAAGCGCAAUGGCCCGGGCACCGGUAUCUGCCCACUCUGUGGAGUCCCUGAAGACUCGAACCACAUCUUCUUCUCCUGCGUUUCCACCCAGUUCCUCUGGAGCUGCUUUCGCGAGGUGGUCAGUGGUAGUUGGUGCCACACCAAUUUCCCGGACCUUUUUGCUGAACUCCAGUUGUCCCCCGUUGUCCCCCGCGUCCUCUCGCCACAUUAG
Molecule: ribosomal RNA, 300 nt
Filed under: Triticum aestivum (bread wheat)
Lineage: Eukaryota; Viridiplantae; Streptophyta; Magnoliopsida; Poales; Poaceae
Description: partial small subunit ribosomal RNA
Source: RNAcentral